Molecule: small nucleolar RNA, 71 nt
Filed under: Choloepus hoffmanni (Hoffmann's two-fingered sloth)
Lineage: Eukaryota; Metazoa; Chordata; Mammalia; Pilosa; Megalonychidae
Description: Small nucleolar RNA SNORD112 (ENSCHOG00000016095.1)
Source: RNAcentral
UGGAGAAGGAUGAUAGUGUGUCAUGAAACAAGUAUUAUCAUUAAUCCAGUUCUACUCCCCUAAGUUCCAAA